GAAUUGACGGGCCCGCACAAGCAGCGGAGCGUGUGGUUUAAUUCGAUGUUACACGAAGAACCUUACCAGGGUUUGACAUGCAAGUGGUAGGAAGCCGAAAGGUGACCGACCUUCGGGAGCUUGCACAGGUGCUGCAUGGCUGCCGUCAGCUCGUGUCGUGAGAUGUUCGGUUAAGUCCGCUAACGAGCGCAACCCUCGCUGUGUGUUAUAUGUGUCACACGGGACUGCCGGUCUUAAGCCGGAGGAAGGUGGGGAUGAUGUCAAGUCAGCAUGGCCUUUAUAUCCUGGGCUACACACACGCUACAAUGGCCAACACAAUAGGUUGCUAAGCCGCGAGGUGGCGCCAAUCCAUAAAGUUGGUCUCAGUUCAGAUUGUAGGCUGCAACCCGCCUGCAUGAAGAUGGAGUUGCUAGUAACCGCAGGUCAGCUAUACUGCGGUGAAUACGUUCCCGGGGCUU
Molecule: ribosomal RNA, 458 nt
Filed under: uncultured Leptolinea sp.
Lineage: Bacteria; Bacillati; Chloroflexota; Anaerolineae; Anaerolineales; Anaerolineaceae
Description: bacterial SSU rRNA
Rfam family: Bacterial small subunit ribosomal RNA
Source: RNAcentral